Molecule: ribosomal RNA, 451 nt
Filed under: Neisseria lactamica
Lineage: Bacteria; Pseudomonadati; Pseudomonadota; Betaproteobacteria; Neisseriales; Neisseriaceae
Description: bacterial SSU rRNA
Rfam family: Bacterial small subunit ribosomal RNA
Source: RNAcentral
AGUCGGACGGCAGCGGGGUAGUGCUUGCACUACUGCCGGCGAGUGGCGAACGGGUGAGUAACAUAUCGGAACGUACCGGGCAGUGGGGGAUAACUGAUCGAAAGAUCAGCUAAUACCGCAUAUUUUCUGAGGAAGAAAGCAGGGGACCUUCGGGCCUUGCGCUAUCCGAGCGGCCGAUAUCUGAUUAGCUGGUUGGCGGGGUAAAGGCCCACCAAGGCGACGAUCAGUAGCGGGUCUGAGAGGACGAUCCGCCACACUGGGACUGAGACACGGCCCAGACUCCUACGGGAGGCAGCAGUGGGGAAUUUUGGACAAUGGGCGCAAGCCUGAUCCAGCCAUGCCGCGUGUCUGAAGAAGGCCUUCGGGUUGUAAAGGACUUUUGUCGGGGAAGAAAAGGUCGGGGUUAAUACCCUCGGCUGAUGACGGUACCCGAAGAAUAAGCACCGGCUAA